Molecule: ribosomal RNA, 258 nt
Filed under: uncultured Comamonadaceae bacterium
Lineage: Bacteria; Pseudomonadati; Pseudomonadota; Betaproteobacteria; Burkholderiales; Comamonadaceae
Description: partial 16S ribosomal RNA
Rfam family: Bacterial small subunit ribosomal RNA
Source: RNAcentral
CGAAAGGGCACUCUAAUGAGACUGCCGGUGACAAACCGGAGGAAGGUGGGGAUGACGUCAAGUCCUCAUGGCCCUUAUAGGGUGGGGCUACACACGUCAUACAAUGGCUGGUAACGAAAGGGUUGCCAACCCGCGAGGGGGAGCCAAUCCCAUAAAGCCAGUCGUAGUCCGGAUCGCAGUCUGCAACUCGACUGCGUGAAGUCGGAAUCGCUAGUAAUCGUGGAUCAGCAUGUCACGGUGAAUACGUUCCCGGGUCUU